This 353-nucleotide unclassified non-coding RNA is filed under the name soil metagenome. Its description in RNAcentral is "partial contains 5.8S ribosomal RNA, internal transcribed spacer 2, and large subunit ribosomal RNA". The stretch from base 1 to 120 matches the Rfam family "5.8S ribosomal RNA", at positions 35 to 154 of the family's 154-position model. The record is from RNAcentral.
GAUGAAGAACUUAGCGAAAUGCGAUAAGUAGUGUGAAUUGCAGAAUUCAGUGAAUCAUCGAAUCUUUGAACGCACAUUGCGCCUCCUGGUAUUCCGGGAGGCAUGCCUGUUCGAGCGUCAUUAAAAUCACUCAAGCUUAGGUUUGCCUAUUGCUUGGUCUUGAAGAUGGAAGCUAAGUAAUUAGAAUCCUCUUCGAAAUCCAAUGGCGAAGACCCUUGCUCUCCCAAGUGUAGUAAUAACUUAUUCACUGAAGGAAGCGAGUAAUCUUCCGCCGUAACCCCCAUAUUUUCUAUGAUUGACCUCGGAUCAGGUAGGGAUACCCGCUGAACUUAAGCAUAUCAAUAAGCGGAGGA